RNAcentral lists this ribosomal RNA (366 nucleotides) under Agathobacter rectalis. RNAcentral describes it as "partial 23S ribosomal RNA". It matches the Rfam family "Bacterial large subunit ribosomal RNA", at positions 2563 to 2925 of the family's 2925-position model. Lineage: Bacteria; Bacillati; Bacillota; Clostridia; Lachnospirales; Lachnospiraceae. The record is from RNAcentral.
UCCCAAGGGUUGGGCUGUUCGCCCAUUAAAGCGGUACGCGAGCUGGGUUCAGAACGUCGUGAGACAGUUCGGUCCCUAUCCGGCGCGGGCGUAGGAUAUCUGAGGGGAGCUGGCCUUAGUACGAGAGGACCGGGCUGGACGGACCACUGGUGUACCGGCUGUCAUGCCAAUGGCAUCGCCGGGUAGCCAAGUCCGGAAGGAAUAAACGCUGAAGGCAUCUAAGCGUGAAGUCCCCCCCAAGAUGAGAUAUCCCAUCCUUAUAAAGGAGUAAAAACCCUUGAAGAGUACGAGGUAGAUAGGGCAGAGGUGGAAGUGUGGUAACACAUGGAGCUGACUGUUACUAAUCGUUUGAGGGCUUGACCAAAA